UGUGAAGUGUGCGAGCAAGCA
RNAcentral lists this non-coding RNA (21 nucleotides) under Arabidopsis thaliana (thale cress). Lineage: Eukaryota; Viridiplantae; Streptophyta; Magnoliopsida; Brassicales; Brassicaceae. The record is from RNAcentral.